Molecule: small RNA, 880 nt
Filed under: Lupinus albus (white lupine)
Lineage: Eukaryota; Viridiplantae; Streptophyta; Magnoliopsida; Fabales; Fabaceae
Description: hypothetical ncRNA
Source: RNAcentral
GAUUUCAGCGGCGGUUUGCGGUGGUUCUUGACUGAGAACGCUCCCAACAGCAUGGGAUCCUCAUCCCGGCGCAGUGUACCAAAAGGGAAUCAAAUCCCUAAAUUAUCUCCUUCAUCCUCUUCUUUUCCGGCAGCGGCGGCAACAAAAGGGACGACGGCAAGUCACUGGUAAUCCGGCGGCUACAUCUCUUCUCCUCUAUCUCGUUUCUCCUUAGCGACGGUGGUGCUCUCUCUGGUGACGGUUUCGGUAGCGACGACAACGCCAGGCAGUAGCGGAGGUUGUGACGAAAGGCAGCGACGACGACUAGGAAAGCCACUAAUGGCGAUGAUGGCGAGUUAUCUUUCUCCAAUUAUGUUAUGCGACCCUUGAUGCGGUGAUUUCCAACCUGAAUUGAAUCUAAACCGUGAAGGUGGAAGGAAGCUACCCCAAUCGAACUCGCUCGGCAAGAACCACCCAUUGUAAUGGUAGUUCGAAAGUUCUCAUACGAAUCCUCAAGAAGAGUCUUGCCAUAUCACCAUAUGCAAUGAAACUUAGUUCAUCUAAUGCUCCUCCAACAACAUUCUGGAACCAUAUAUUCUGCCACCAUUGAUGUCAUUGAUAAUGUGUAAGUGUAGUAUUGGAAAGAGGCAAGUGUGGUGGCUUGAAGCUCUUGAAGCAUAUAAGUUGUUCUACCUUUUGAAUAAAACAAUCAUGAAAGUAGAGCCGAAUAAGACUUUCUUUAUCUGAAUUUGUAUACAUUUUAUUGGUACAAAGUCCAAACAGAAUUCCCAUAUCUCAACUUAAUGUUUAGUGAAUUUCAGUUCAUGUAUUCCUAUACUUUUUUCUCAAUAUGAGUGUAUAGUAGCAAUUAAUAUUCCAUUUGAAAAAAUGAUGUAUGAUU